This 463-nucleotide ribosomal RNA is filed under the name uncultured bacterium. RNAcentral describes it as "partial 16S ribosomal RNA". It matches the Rfam family "Bacterial small subunit ribosomal RNA", at positions 339 to 795 of the family's 1533-position model. The record is from RNAcentral.
CUACGGGCUGCACCAGUGGGGAAUAUUGCACAAUGGGCGCAAGCCUGAUGCAGCCAUGCCGCGUGUAUGAAGAAGGCCUUCGGGUUGUAAAGUACUUUCAGCGGGGAGGAAGGGAGUAAAGUUAAUACCUUUGCUCAUUGACGUUACCCGCAGAAGAAGCACCGGCUAAUCCGUGCCAGCAGCCGCGGUAAUACGGAGGGUGCAAGCGUUAAUCGGAAUUACUGGGCGUAAAGCGCACGCAGGCGGUUUGUUAAGUCAGAUGUGAAAUCCCCGGGCUCAACCUGGGAACUGCAUCUGAUACUGGCAAGCUUGAGUCUCGUAGAGGGGGGUAGAAUUCCAGGUGUAGCGGUGAAAUGCGUAGAGAUCUGGAGGAAUACCGGUGGCGAAGGCGGCCCCCUGGACGAAGACUGACGCUCAGGUGCGAAAGCGUGGGGAGCAAACAGGAUUAGAUACCCGAGUAGUC